This 253-nucleotide ribosomal RNA is filed under the name uncultured bacterium. RNAcentral describes it as "partial 16S ribosomal RNA". It matches the Rfam family "Bacterial small subunit ribosomal RNA", at positions 524 to 776 of the family's 1533-position model. The record is from RNAcentral.
GACAGAGGGUGCAAACGUUGCUCGGAAUUACUGGGCGCAAAGCGCGUGUAGGCGGACUGGAAAGUCGGGCGUGAAAUCCCCAGGCUCAACCUGGGAACUGCACUCGAAACUUCCAGCCUAGAGUGGUGGAGAGGGAAGUGGAAUUCCUGGUGUAGAGGUGAAAUUCGUAGAUAUUCGCAAGAACACCAGUGGCGAAGGCGGCUCACUGGCCCGGUACUGACGCUGAGGUGCGAAAGCGUGGGGAGCAAACAGG